Molecule: ribosomal RNA, 510 nt
Filed under: Rutilus virgo
Lineage: Eukaryota; Metazoa; Chordata; Actinopteri; Cypriniformes; Leuciscidae
Description: partial 16S ribosomal RNA
Rfam family: Bacterial large subunit ribosomal RNA
Source: RNAcentral
GCCUGCCCAGUGACUACGGGUUCAACGGCCGCGGUAUUUUGACCGUGCAAAGGUAGCGCAAUCACUUGUCUCUUAAAUAGAGACCUGUAUGAAUGGCUAGACGAGGGCUUAACUGUCUCCCCCUUCCAGUCAGUGAAAUUGAUCUAUCCGUGCAGAAGCGGGUAUAAUUAUACAAGACGAGAAGACCCUUUGGAGCUUAAGGUACAAAAUUCAACCACGUUAAAUGACUCUACAAAAAGCAAGAACCUAGUGGCCAAUGAAGUUUUACCUUCGGUUGGGGCGACCACGGAGGAAAGACAAGCCUCCGAGUGGACUGGGCUAAAUCCCCAAAGCCAAGAGAUACAUCUAUAAGCCGCAGAACAUCUGACCAAGAAUGAUCCGACUGAAAAGCCGAUCAACGAACCAAGUUACCCUAGGGAUAACAGCGCAAUCCUCUCCCAGAGUCCAUAUCGACGAGGGGGUUUACGACCUCGAUGUUGGAUCAGGACAUCCUAAUGGUGCAGCCGCUAU